UACGUAGGGUGCAAGCGUUGUCCGGAAUUACUGGGCGUAAAGCGUGCGCAGGCGGUUUUGUAAGUCUGUCGUGAAAGCCCCGGGCUCAACCUGGGAAUUGCGAUGGAGACUGCAAGGCUUGAAUCUGGCAGAGGGGGGUAGAAUUCCACGUGUAGCGGUGAAAUGCGUAGAGAUGUGGAGGAACACCGAUGGCGAAGGCAGCCCCCUGGGUCAAGAUUGACGCUCAUGCACGAAAGCGUGGGGAGCAAACAGG
RNAcentral lists this ribosomal RNA (253 nucleotides) under uncultured bacterium. Its description in RNAcentral is "partial 16S ribosomal RNA". It matches the Rfam family "Bacterial small subunit ribosomal RNA", at positions 524 to 776 of the family's 1533-position model. The record is from RNAcentral.